CAAGUCGACGAUGAACCGCUUUCGGGCGGGGAUUAGUGGCGAACGGGUGAGUAACACGUGGGCAAUCUGCCCUGCACUCUGGGACAAGCCCUGGAAACGGGGUCUAAUACCGGAUAUGACCGUCUGCCGCAUGGUGGAUGGUGUAAAGCUCCGGCGGUGCAGGAUGAGCCCGCGGCCUAUCAGCUUGUUGGUGAGGUAGUGGCUCACCAAGGCGACGACGGGUAGCCGGCCUGAGAGGGCGACCGGCCACACUGGGACUGAGACACGGCCCAGACUCCUACGGGAGGCAGCAGUGGGGAAUAUUGCACAAUGGGCGAAAGCCUGAUGCAGCGACGCCGCGUGAGGGAUGACGGCCUUCGGGUUGUAAACCUCUUUCAGCAGGGAAGAAGCGAAAGUGACGGUACCUGCAGAAGAAGCGCCGGCUAACUACGUGCCAGCAGCCGCGGUAAUACGUAGGGCGCAAGCGUUGUCCGGAAUUAUUGGGCGUAAAGAGCUCGUAGGCGGCUUGUCACGUCGGUUGUGAAAGCCCGGGGCUUAACCCCGGGUCUGCAGUCGAUACGGGCAGGCUAGAGUUCGGUAGGGGAGAUCGGAAUUCCUGGUGUAGCGGUGAAAUGCGCAGAUAUCAGGAGGAACACCGGUGGCGAAGGCGGAUCUCUGGGCCGAUACUGACGCUGAGGAGCGAAAGCGUGGGGAGCGAACAGGAUUAGAUACCCUGGUAGUCCACGCCGUAAACGGUGGGCACUAGGUGUGGGCAACAUUCCACGUUGUCCGUGCCGCAGCUAACGCAUUAAGUGCCCCGCCUGGGGAGUACGGCCGCAAGGCUAAAACUCAAGGAAUUGACGGGGGCCCGCACAAGCGGCGGAG
This 864-nucleotide ribosomal RNA is filed under the name Streptomyces coelicolor. Its description in RNAcentral is "bacterial SSU rRNA". It matches the Rfam family "Bacterial small subunit ribosomal RNA", at positions 58 to 937 of the family's 1533-position model. The record is from RNAcentral. Lineage: Bacteria; Bacillati; Actinomycetota; Actinomycetes; Kitasatosporales; Streptomycetaceae.